RNAcentral lists this ribosomal RNA (279 nucleotides) under uncultured bacterium. Its description in RNAcentral is "partial 16S ribosomal RNA". It matches the Rfam family "Bacterial small subunit ribosomal RNA", at positions 334 to 630 of the family's 1533-position model. The record is from RNAcentral.
UGGUCCUACGGGGGGCAGCAGUGGGGGAUAUUGCACAAUGGGGGGAACCCUGAUGCAGCGACGCCGCGUGGGUGAAGAAGCGCCUCGGCGCGUAAAGCCCUGUCAGCAGGGAAGAAAAUGACGGUACCUGAAGAAGAAGCCCCGGCUAACUACGUGCCAGCAGCCGCGGUAAUACGUAGGGGGCAAGCGUUAUCCGGAUUUACUGGGUGUAAAGGGAGCGUAGACGGCCAGACAAGUCAGAUGUGAAAGCCCAGGGCUCAACCCUGGGACUGCUUUUGA